This 679-nucleotide ribosomal RNA is filed under the name Marinobacter nauticus. RNAcentral describes it as "bacterial SSU rRNA". It matches the Rfam family "Bacterial small subunit ribosomal RNA", at positions 62 to 733 of the family's 1533-position model. Lineage: Bacteria; Pseudomonadati; Pseudomonadota; Gammaproteobacteria; Pseudomonadales; Marinobacteraceae. The record is from RNAcentral.
UCGAGCGGUAACAGGGGAAGCUUGCUUCCCGCUGACGAGCGGCGGACGGCUGAGUAAUGCUUAGGAAUCUGCCCAGUAGUGGGGGAUAGCCCGGGGAAACCCGGAUUAAUACCGCAUACGUCCUACGGGAGAAAGCAGGGGAUCUUCGGACCUUGCGCUAUUGGAUGAGCCUAAGUCGGAUUAGCUAGUUGGUGGGGUAAAGGCCUACCAAGGCGACGAUCCGUAGCUGGUCUGAGAGGAUGAUCACCCACAUCGGGACUGAGACACGGCCCGAACUCCUACGGGAGGCAGCAGUGGGGAAUAUUGGACAAUGGGGGCAACCCUGAUCCGCCAUGCCGCGUGUGUGAAGAAGGCUUUCGGGUUGUAAAGCACUUUCAGUACGGAGGAAAACCUUAUGGUUAAUACCCAUGAGGCUUGACGUUACCUACAGAAGAAGCACCGGCUAACUCCGUGCCAGCAGCCGCGGUAAUACGGAGGGUGCAGGCGUUAAUCGGAAUUACUGGGCGUAAAGCGCGCGUAGGUGGUUUGGUAAGCGAGAUGUGAAAGCCCCGGGCUUAACCUGGGAACGGCAUUUCGAACUGUCAGACUAUAGUGUGGUAGAGGGUAGUGGAAUUUCCUGUGUAGCGGUGAAAUGCGUAGAUAUAGGAAGGAACACGAAUGGCGAAGGCAGCUACCUGUG